CACGGCUGCUGCACGAACUCAUCUGGGGGGCAGAGCGAGGGAGCGAGGGGUGUUAGAGGAGGAGAGGAAAUGCACGUCAAAAACUGAAGAGUCAAAAAUGUGACGUGUGUGUCGUCAGGUAUGGAAUGAAAACUAGAAAAAUCUAUUUCUAAGAAGAGAAAGUACAUCUGUUCACAAUAACACCCGAUUCUAAGAAGUGACUAUUAUUGGACAAGAAGUGUUAGACACUGACAAGGUGCGAGACAGGGGUUGCAGAGAAGUCACUCACGAGUCAUGCAAAGGUCACAUAUGUAUGCGGUUGUGAAUCGUGCAGCAGCCCCAGAAGUGGCCAUUACUGUUGCUGACACAGGGACUGGAGGACAAGAAGAGAAGACAGGGGUGAGACCAGAGGUUGGCUCAAGAAGCGGCGGGGAAGAGUUUGAGCCAGUGUGAAUGAGAGAGUCUGAAGUAGAGUCGCUGUUAAAUCAAAAACAACUCACUGAAAUGACACAUAAGUGAAGGCACAGAGGGGUGGGGGGUAAAGAGCAGGGAGCAGAGAGGAGUGGGACUCAGGGAUGAACAAUCACACCUUCCAGCAGUUGGAGGAUGUGCCAAAGUGGUCAGGAGCGAAUGUGAAUCAAUUGGAGUUGCAACCCUGCAGAAAUGAGUGGAUGUGCCUGAGUGGCUCCUCCAGACUUGUUCAGCACCGCGGACAGCUCCCUCAUCUCUCUCACAGACUGCCAGUCAAACAGCAAACACAACAACCACCCCACAGACCAAAUACAUCAGCUGGUUUAUCGUGGAUUUGGACCAACGUGAGGGGAACAAAUUCGCCUCCUUUCUACUCAAAUCACCGCCCCCACCCCCCUCUAAAAAAAUCCUCUCCAGAACUGCUGCAGUUUUUGGAGAAAUAGCCCUUGUAGAUUUGGGAUUGAGAUUGAGUGGAAAAAAAAAAUCAGUUUCCCUGUUAGAUUUGUGAUAACAAUCCCAUUUUAGCGCUGUGAGAUUGGCUCCUCAGUUCCCUCACCCAGAAAGUAAUGAGCCAAUUGAAUUGGUUAGAUAGGAGCCAUGAGGGGGACAAAAGGUUUAAUUCUCUGUAAUCUGUCACAAUCUACAGACUGACAUCACCUCUCUGCCUGUCAGGAAAGAGAGACACCCAGAGAAAGAGGGAGUGACGGAGGAGAGGAGAGGACAUGGAGAUGUGAAGGAAGCAGAGAGAGGGGGAUGAAAACUAUGUUUGCACAGUCUUUAAGGCGGGAACAGAAAGACCUUGGCCCAAAAAAUGGAGGGAGUACCCAACAUGGACGCGCAUGCACGAACGGGGACGCGCCUACACCUGGGCUAAAACUAACCAGCCUUGAUUGUGCAGCGUAUCCAAAAAAAAAAAAAAAAAAAAAAAAGGGACUGCUGCUUGAAAGGGACGAUGGAUUCACUCAGCAGAAAAUAAAUAAAUGACUUCAUAACGACUAAACGGCUGAUAUCGUGACUCAGUGGGUGGGUUUGGUUUGCUCAUGAUUUCUGCGCUGCCUGCACACACUCACAAAACUCGCAGCGUUUUCACGGAGCCGAGCGGGUAGUUACAACAUGCACAGUUUCCUGUUCAUCACAUGUAUGUAAAACAGCAUCAGCAUCCUGGCGGAGGUCUGAAUGAAGCAGUGAUGUGCGCAUAGGAUUGUUUGCACCCCCACCAACCCCCCCACUCCCCACCCCCCUCACACACACUCACACGCGGAGUUUGGAGAUGAUAAACAGAGCAGGGAACAUGUGAGCGACUCAGACGUACAAUUGGGAUGAUAUUAAGAACAAAUAAUAACAAUAAAAACUGUUUAACGGUUUGAUUUCAGGCAACAUUUGACUGUGAUUUUUUUUAAUCUGUGGUCUCUCAGCUGAAGAUGAGACGCGAACACGACAUGAGGACACGUUAGGAAUGCUGCUCUUUUCAAAGCUGUCAUCACACACACACACACACACACACACGUAUAUGUAUAUACAUCUAAAAUGACUAAGUCAGGCUGAAAAGGCGUCGUCAUCACAAUUACUGCCAAAAAACACACACAUACACACACAGAGAGAAGUGUUAUUCAA
Seriola aureovittata is the source of this 2064-nucleotide long non-coding RNA. RefSeq lists it as uncharacterized. The record is from RefSeq and is a predicted model, not a curated record. Lineage: Eukaryota; Metazoa; Chordata; Actinopteri; Carangiformes; Carangidae. The transcript has 3 exons.